RNAcentral lists this ribosomal RNA (253 nucleotides) under uncultured bacterium. Its description in RNAcentral is "partial 16S ribosomal RNA". It matches the Rfam family "Bacterial small subunit ribosomal RNA", at positions 524 to 776 of the family's 1533-position model. The record is from RNAcentral.
UACAAAGGUCCCGAGCGUUGUUCGGAUUCACUGGGCGUAAAGGGUGCGUAGGUGGCAUGGUAAGUUUGAUGUGAAAGCUCAGGGCUCAACCCUGAAAUGGCAUUGAAUACUACUGUGCUGGAGGUUUGGAGGGGGGACUGGAAUUCUUGGUGUAGCAGUGAAAUGCGUAGAUAUCAAGAGGAACACCAGUGGCGAAGGCGAGUCCCUGGACAACACCUGACACUGAGGCACGAAAGCCGGGGGAGCAAACAGG